Molecule: ribosomal RNA, 372 nt
Filed under: uncultured organism
Description: partial 16S ribosomal RNA
Rfam family: Bacterial small subunit ribosomal RNA
Source: RNAcentral
GAAGGUGGCAAGCGUUGUUCGGAAUCAUUGGGCUUAAAGCGCGCGUAGGCGGACUGGAAAGUGUCUUGUGAAAACCCUCGGCUUAACCGAGGAAUUGCUUGGCAAACUAUCAGUCUUGAGGCAAGUAGGGGUACAUGGAACUCUUAGUGGAGCGGUGGAAUGCGUAGAUAUUAAGAGGAACGCCAAUGGUGAAGACAGUGUACUGGGCUUGUACUGACGCUGAGGUGCGAAAGCGUGGGGAGCGAACGGGGGAUUAGAUACCCCGGUAGUCCACGCCGUAAACGAUGUCUGCUAGAUCGUGGGAGUUCUGACACUUUCACGGUCGAAGCAAAAGUGAUAAGUAGACCGCCUGGGGAUACGGUCGCAAGGCUA